Molecule: long non-coding RNA, 477 nt
Filed under: Felis catus (domestic cat)
Lineage: Eukaryota; Metazoa; Chordata; Mammalia; Carnivora; Felidae
Description: lncRNA (ENSFCAG00000045926.2)
Source: RNAcentral
CCGGGCUGAGCAGAGACCCUGUGAGAAGAGCCAGCGCGACCCAACUCCAGUCUGCCGGUGCCUCAGAGAGGAGUUCUUUCUCAGAACGUAGACACUGAAGCAUACCGGUAAGCUAUUGGAACGGUCCCGAGGAGAAACAGAGAGCACCGUUUCAGAGCAUAAACAAGACAGCACAGGAUGGUCAUUCAGUGACGAGCAGAAUCGCCAGGACGCCACGUGUUCUCUGUCCCCAUCCCCCUCCCUGAGCAGACAUAGGUUCCCUCGCCUAGGAGCCAGUCACUGCGGGGAACCCAGGGAUCCUCACUCCUUGCAGCGUCCACAGCCUCAUGAGGUUCACAGCUGCGAACCAAACUUUACAUUACGACAAGGUGAAACGCAAAGAGACGCAUCAAAACGGUACGGGGACACAGAGGUGGCCACCACUAGCUGAGUGGGGGGCGCCGGGGAAGGUUGUGCGGGAGAGGUGACAUUUGACCU